GUUUCUAUGAAGUAUGAAUGAAGAUUGGGUUUCUAACGCAAUGAUCCGAGGCACAUCCGUAUUAUAGUUAACCAGCCCGUUAUCUUCCGACCAGGCUGAGUUUGUGGUGUUCCUUUAUAAUGUGCAGCUAAUAUAAAUAGUCCCACAUAUUGUCUUGGAGGCAAAUCUGGUUUUGUUUCCCUCAUGAACAAUUGCAUGAUCCGUUAAUGAAUAUUGCACGGCUAAUAGUCUUGUGAUAUUUACUAUUUUAAUGUCUUUCCUCCGUGUUAG
Molecule: unclassified non-coding RNA, 270 nt
Filed under: Hevea brasiliensis (rubber tree)
Lineage: Eukaryota; Viridiplantae; Streptophyta; Magnoliopsida; Malpighiales; Euphorbiaceae
Source: RNAcentral